UGUAUGAUAUGUAUGCAUGUUUUAGAACAAGUUUAUGCAUGAUUGGUGAGUUUGGAGGCAAAAAUGCAUAAGGGAGCCAAGUUUCUGCCCUUUGGCAGAAACCAGGUUCGGCAGCCGAAGGAGCUUUCGGCCGCCGAACAUGGCUGGGGAGGCAGGCCUUUCGGCUGCCGAAGUUGCCCCCAAAAAGAGACUUUCGUCUCUGUCUGGGACUUUCGGCCGCCGAAGGUGCCGCCGAACAUGCAUGAGUUUCGCCUCUGUCUGGGAGUUUCGGCCGCCGAAGGUGUCGC
RNAcentral lists this long non-coding RNA (287 nucleotides) under Manihot esculenta (cassava). RNAcentral describes it as "long non-coding RNA (MESC_LNC007207)". Lineage: Eukaryota; Viridiplantae; Streptophyta; Magnoliopsida; Malpighiales; Euphorbiaceae. The record is from RNAcentral.